This 436-nucleotide ribosomal RNA is filed under the name Mysmeninae sp. MYSM-031-MAD. Its description in RNAcentral is "partial 16S ribosomal RNA". The stretch from base 193 to 436 matches the Rfam family "Bacterial large subunit ribosomal RNA", at positions 2079 to 2600 of the family's 2925-position model. Lineage: Eukaryota; Metazoa; Arthropoda; Arachnida; Araneae; Mysmenidae. The record is from RNAcentral.
UGUUUAAUUUUAUUAUUAAAUAAAACCUGCUCAAUGAAAAUUAAAUAGCCGCAGAAUUUUAACUGUGCUAAGGUAGCAUAAUCAUUAGAUUUUUAAUUAAAAUCUAGAAUGAAAGGUUUAACUUUUAUUUACUUUAUUAAAUUCACUUAAUUUAAAUUAUAUUAAAAAUAAAAAUAUUUUUAUAAUUUAAAAGACGACAAGACCCUAUUGAACUUAACUUUAGUUAAGCUGGGGCAGCUAAUUAAAAAUAAUUUUAAUUUAAUUAUUUAUAUAGAUACCUAAUAUUAUUAAAUAAAUAAGUUACCAUAGGGAUAACAGCGUAAUUUUUUAUAAAAGUUCUUAUUAAAUAUAAAGAUUGCGACCUCGAUGUUGAAUUAUUUACCUGAUAGGAGCAAAAUUUUAAAAAGGGAGUCUGUUCGACUUUUAAAUAUUUACA